AUUCCAUGGUGAGGGCAAACCAAGAGAUACUCUUGGAAAUGCUCCCAUGCUUCAGAGAUUGACUCAUUUGACACCUGCUAGAAGUUGGUUAUCCAUCCAUGAAGGGC
RNAcentral lists this small nucleolar RNA (107 nucleotides) under Dichanthelium oligosanthes. RNAcentral describes it as "Plant small nucleolar RNA R71". It matches the Rfam family "Plant small nucleolar RNA R71". From Rfam's summary of the family: R71 is a member of the C/D box family of snoRNAs containing the C (UGAUGA) and D (CUGA) box motifs. Multiple nearly identical copies of this snoRNA have been identified in Arabidopsis, and it is thought to function as a 2'-O-ribose methylation guide for 18S ribosomal RNA. The record is from Rfam by way of RNAcentral. Lineage: Eukaryota; Viridiplantae; Streptophyta; Magnoliopsida; Poales; Poaceae.